GCCGUCGUAGCUCAGUGGUAGAGCACUUCCAUGGUAAGGAAGGGGUCUCGGGUUCAAAUCCCGACGACGGCUCCA
This 75-nucleotide transfer RNA is filed under the name Candidatus Saccharimonadota bacterium. RNAcentral's name for it is "tRNA-Thr". It matches the Rfam family "tRNA". Rfam says of the family: Transfer RNA (tRNA) molecules are approximately 80 nucleotides in length. Their secondary structure includes four short double-helical elements and three loops (D, anti-codon, and T loops). The record is from RNAcentral. Lineage: Bacteria; Candidatus Saccharimonadota. RNAcentral also lists the same sequence under 3 other names.